RNAcentral lists this transfer RNA (74 nucleotides) under Planctomycetota bacterium. Its description in RNAcentral is "Planctomycetes bacterium (anaerobic digester metagenome) tRNA-Val". It matches the Rfam family "tRNA". From Rfam's summary of the family: Transfer RNA (tRNA) molecules are approximately 80 nucleotides in length. Lineage: Bacteria; Pseudomonadati; Planctomycetota. The record is from RNAcentral.
GGGCGUUUAGCUCAGUUGGCUAGAGCGCAUCCCUUACAAGGAUGAGGUCACUGGUUCGAGCCCAGUAACGCCCA